This 199-nucleotide long non-coding RNA is filed under the name Elaeis guineensis (African oil palm). RNAcentral describes it as "long non-coding RNA (EGUI_LNC070947)". The record is from RNAcentral. Lineage: Eukaryota; Viridiplantae; Streptophyta; Magnoliopsida; Arecales; Arecaceae.
GACUUCUCUUUUUUUAUAAAGAUCAAUAGAUUCCAUCUAGGUGCAUCCUACUCCAAACAACAAAUCUAAACCUACUGAAGCCAACAUAUACAGCAAGAUCUUGAAUGGUUAGGGACUAAAAGAAUAUGCAGUCAAACCCAAUAGCCUCGCUGCGAAUAGCCAAUGGCACCAUAGUUCAAAGGAUCACUCAUACUACUGC